RNAcentral lists this ribosomal RNA (431 nucleotides) under uncultured bacterium. RNAcentral describes it as "bacterial SSU rRNA". It matches the Rfam family "Bacterial small subunit ribosomal RNA", at positions 354 to 776 of the family's 1533-position model. The record is from RNAcentral.
GUGAGGAAUCUUGCGCAAUGGGCGAAAGCCUGACGCAGCGACGCCGCGUGGGGGACGAAGGCUCUCGGGUUGUAAACCCCUUUCGACCGGGAAGAACCGCUUUAAGACGAAUAAUCUUAGAGCCUGACGGUACCGGUAGAAGAAGCCACGGCUAACUCUGUGCCAGCAGCCGCGGUAAGACAGAGGUGGCAAGCGUUGUUCGGAUUUAUUGGGCGUAAAGAGCGCGUAGGCGGUUACGUAUGUCAGAUGUGAAAUGCCGGGGCUCAACCCCGGAACUGCAUUUGAAACUGUGUGACUUGAGGACAGGAGGGGGAAGUGGAAUUCCCGGUGUAGCGGUGAAAUGCGUAGAUAUCGGGAAGAACACCGGUGGCGAAGGCGGCUUCCUGGACUGUCCCUGACGCUGAGGCGCGAAAGCGUGGGUAGCAAACAGG